This 795-nucleotide ribosomal RNA is filed under the name Lactiplantibacillus plantarum. RNAcentral's name for it is "bacterial SSU rRNA". It matches the Rfam family "Bacterial small subunit ribosomal RNA", at positions 44 to 803 of the family's 1533-position model. Lineage: Bacteria; Bacillati; Bacillota; Bacilli; Lactobacillales; Lactobacillaceae. The record is from RNAcentral.
GUGCCUAAUACAUGCAAGUCGAACGAACUCUGGUAUUGAUUGGUGCUUGCAUCAUGAUUUACAUUUGAGUGAGUGGCGAACUGGUGAGUAACACGUGGGAAACCUGCCCAGAAGCGGGGGAUAACACCUGGAAACAGAUGCUAAUACCGCAUAACAACUUGGACCGCAUGGUCCGAGCUUGAAAGAUGGCUUUGGCUAUCACUUUUGGAUGGUCCCGCGGCGUAUUAGCUAGAUGGUGGGGUAACGGCUCACCAUGGCAAUGAUACGUAGCCGACCUGAGAGGGUAAUCGGCCACAUUGGGACUGAGACACGGCCCAAACUCCUACGGGAGGCAGCAGUAGGGAAUCUUCCACAAUGGACGAAAGUCUGAUGGAGCAACGCCGCGUGAGUGAAGAAGGGUUUCGGCUCGUAAAACUCUGUUGUUAAAGAAGAACAUAUCUGAGAGUAACUGUUCAGGUAUUGACGGUAUUUAACCAGAAAGCCACGGCUAACUACGUGCCAGCAGCCGCGGUAAUACGUAGGUGGCAAGCGUUGUCCGGAUUUAUUGGGCGUAAAGCGAGCGCAGGCGGUUUUUUAAGUCUGAUGUGAAAGCCUUCGGCUCAACCGAAGAAGUGCAUCGGAAACUGGGAAACUUGAGUGCAGAAGAGGACAGUGGAACUCCAUGUGUAGCGGUGAAAUGCGUAGAUAUAUGGAAGAACACCAGUGGCGAAGGCGGCUGUCUGGUCUGUAACUGACGCUGAGGCUCGAAAGUAUGGGUAGCAAACAGGAUUAGAUACCCUGGUUAUUCCGCGCGCA